Molecule: long non-coding RNA, 1617 nt
Organism: Gymnodraco acuticeps
Lineage: Eukaryota; Metazoa; Chordata; Actinopteri; Perciformes; Bathydraconidae
Exons: 2
Source: RefSeq, a predicted model, not a curated record
AAACACAAGCACACACUAGAGUACAUUUCAUACCUCUACUGUAGGUCCAAUGACCCACACAGCAAACCAUCUUUGAUGCUAGCAUUGUAUCUAGUAGCUUGAACCUUAACAACAUCCAAACACUGAGACAGACACACUUCUGAAAGCCUCUAGUGUGGAACUGGCAGUCUGAGAAUCUCUUUUUUUUCUUCGAUCUUCUAUAGUGUGAUAGUUUGGAAAAUAUAGAAGAGUCGUCACAAAAGCAUCAGACAAGACAACAGGAACUAGUUAAAGUUUAUUGUAAGUCGCUUUGGAUAAAAGCGUCAGCUAAAUGCAAUGUAAUGUAAUGUAAGUAAUGGGAAUCCGCCAAAUGUAAACAAAAUGUUCAGGUCAUCAAACCAUCUGUCAAACUCUCUCUCCCUCUACCUUUCUUUCUCUCUCAGUCUUCACUGGCCAACAAUGAUUCCCAAAUAUUGUUUGUUUGAGUUUAGUUUGAUGCCACAGCUGACUUUAACCCUUAAAGGCCGAGCGUGCCGCCCGCGGCUUCAAAGAGGUAGCGUUCUAAAAUGCUUAAUAACUUUGUAACCGCUAAUCCUAUCCAUCUGAUUUAAAAAGUGAGGUAAAGCGGCUAUUCUAGGCUUUUUGCUGGUAUCACUAUGUCCUUUUCCGGGAUUCAGAGGCUCCGACGUGAUCGGGGCAACGUUAUCACAUUUUACAGCCUUGAUUCGUCAAGGAGACCCACGCGGCCCCUCUGUCUGAGCCAAACAGCAAAGGUUUUAGACUAAGUCCCACCCCCCUGUGUCCGGAUAGGUUUAAAAGGGUAAAGGUCCAGGCAAACCUCUGCCCAUGCUACCAUCUUCUCGACCAAUCAACAUAGGUUGCUGUGUAUGUUUUUGGCGGCGGGAGAUAAACAAAGAGAAACAGAGAGACGAGAGAGUAAUACUAAAGAAGAGUAAUUCUGCCAGCGUAAGAUAAAUAAAUACAACACGAGAUAUCUAGAUACAGUCACACACACACACAAAUACAGAUACAUACACACACACACAUAUCCCAAGACAAAUUCAAACCAACAUGUCAAAACGGCGUUACACUACGGAAGAAGCCGUAGAAUUUAUUUUGUCUGGCGGACCGCUUAGCGAUGCAGCGGUGGAUUCCUCAGAUAAUGAAGCUGACAACUUGCAAGGAAGAGGAGUAUGAUCACGGGAUUGAUCCCUUCGAAGAUAAAAAAUACAGAGGAUGAGAGAGGGGAUGCACAAGCCCCUGUCCCCAUCAGUAGGCCUCCUUCAAACCGAGAGGGAAAAGAAUGUGGCCAGGAGGGUGCAGCAUCCAGAAAAAAGGCCAAACCAAUGCCAGCCCCCCUGACAGUGAAAGGGAGAGGAAGAGGAAAAGGGAAAAAAACAUCUCUGACCCCAGAAGAGCCAGGAGCUGUUUGGAACGGACCUGAGGUGCCAGAUACUGCCCAACAACUACCACACUUUUGCCCGAAAAGAGCCCCUGGAGUCCAAGGUUUUGUUGGUGUGGAGUAUACUCCUGCACAAAUAUUUAGAAAUUGUUUUAACAACCAAGCUGUAAAUAUCAUCUGCAAGAACACAAACAAAAAUGCUGAAAAGGAGCAGGCUAAGGGGGAAAAGUUUGUUU